UGGAAGUUCCCCAGGGCAGACAUCCCUCUGUCCCGGUCUAGAAGUGGACUGGCGACCUGAAGAAUGUGGCCGAGGAAGAGCCACGUCUGAAGCGAGAGGCGCUGAGGCCGGCGCGCGGGUGCAGGGAGGGCCCAGGCCGUCAUCAAAUCCCGGGAGCUGCUUGAGCUGAAGAAUCUGAGAUGCUGAGGAUUUGAUGUGUCUAAGGAUAACAUAAGUGGUCAGUGGUGGAAUUCACCUCAACGUUUCCUACUCCACGCUUUGCAUGACACCGAAGUUUAACACCCAGAUCUCUUGAAGACCUGCAGUAUCAUGAAGAAGUGAAUAGACACUGUGGCCUCCAAGGGGUGAAUAUCCAUCAAGUUCUUUGGAAAAAGCAAGAAAAUAACAAAUAUACAAAAAAGAAAAUAAAAGAAAACCAUGAAACUUUUCAAAGUACCCAGUGUUGCAUCUGAGCUCUUGAGGAGGUAUAAUUUUUGCAGCCAUUCCAGAUGACAUGGAGUAGC
This is a long non-coding RNA of Chinchilla lanigera (long-tailed chinchilla), 503 nucleotides long. RefSeq lists it as uncharacterized. The record is from RefSeq and is a predicted model, not a curated record. The transcript has 4 exons. NCBI's taxonomy places the organism in Eukaryota, Metazoa, Chordata, Mammalia, Rodentia, Chinchillidae.